This 888-nucleotide ribosomal RNA is filed under the name Lactifluus pubescens. RNAcentral's name for it is "partial large subunit ribosomal RNA". It matches the Rfam family "Eukaryotic large subunit ribosomal RNA", at positions 72 to 938 of the family's 3401-position model. Lineage: Eukaryota; Fungi; Basidiomycota; Agaricomycetes; Russulales; Russulaceae. The record is from RNAcentral.
GGAUUCCCCUAGUAACUGCGAGUGAAGCGGGAAAAGCUCAAAUUUAAAAUCUGGCGGUCUUUGGCCGUCCGAGUUGUAAUUUAGAGAAGCGUCUUCCGCGCCGGACCGUGCACAAGUCUCCUGGAAUGGAGCGUCAUAGAGGGUGAGAAUCCCGUCUUUGGCACGGAUGCCUGGUGCUCUGUGAUGCGCUCUCGAAGAGUCGAGUUGUUUGGGAAUGCAGCUCAAAAUGGGUGGUGAACUCCAUCUAAAGCUAAAUAUUGGCGAGAGACCGAUAGCGAACAAGUACCGUGAGGGAAAGAUGAAAAGCACUUUGGAAAGAGAGUGAAACAGUACGUGAAAUUGUUGAAAGGGAAACGCUUGAAGUCAGUCGCGUCGACCGAGACUCAGCCUUGCCUCGGCUUGGUGUACUUCUCGGCCCGACGGGUCAGCGUCAAUUUUGCCCCUCGGAUAAUGGCAAGGGAAAGGUGGCACCUUUACGGGUGUGUUAUAGUCUCCUGUCGCAUGCGAGGGGUGGGAUUGAGGAACUCAGCGCGCACCUUUGGUGUCGGGGCUUCGGCCCACGUCACGCGCUUAGGAUGCUGGCGUAAUGGCUUUAAACGACCCGUCUUGAAACACGGACCAAGGAGUCUAACAUGCCCGCGAGUGUUCGGGUGGAAAACCCGUGCGCGUAAUGAAAGUGAAAGUUGGGACCUCUGUCGUGGAGGGCACCGACGCCCGGACCAGACCUUCUGUGACGGAUCUGCGGUAGAGCGUGCAUGUUGGGACCCGAAAGAUGGUGAACUAUGCCUGAAUAGGGUGAAGCCAGAGGAAACUCUGGUGGAGGCUCGUAGCGAUUCUGACGUGCAAAUCGAUCGUCAAAUUUGGGUAUAGGGGCGAAAGACUAAUCGA